RNAcentral lists this long non-coding RNA (370 nucleotides) under Homo sapiens (human). RNAcentral's name for it is "HSALNT0196739". Lineage: Eukaryota; Metazoa; Chordata; Mammalia; Primates; Hominidae. The record is from RNAcentral.
AGGAAGCUGCCAUUCAUUCGACAUAAGUAGGUGCUUCAUCUGAUAAGCGCUGCUUGUGUAAUUUAUCAAUGACAGAGAAGGCAGAUAGCAGCAUGCAUACUUGGGGCUGCAUUUGAAGGAGAGCAACAUCCCUUUGUUUUCACAGAGGAGAACAAGCAUGAGUUGAGAUUGUGGUGCUUCUUGAAGUCUCAUCCAGAUCAGAAACCUGCUGCUCUGUCCACAUUCCAUCCACCAAAGCAACCCAUAUGGCCAUGUCCAGCAUCAGAUGGGGAAAGGCAGUUCUCCUCUAGCACGAGGAGCUGCAAAGCCACAUGGCAAAGGAUGAGUGUGUAAAAAAUAAAUGCAGGAGGGCAGGAGGCAUUGGGAACAA